Molecule: long non-coding RNA, 206 nt
Filed under: Lathyrus oleraceus (garden pea)
Lineage: Eukaryota; Viridiplantae; Streptophyta; Magnoliopsida; Fabales; Fabaceae
Description: Pisum sativum (pea) long non-coding RNA (PSAT_LNC041217)
Source: RNAcentral
UUCAAUCAAAUUCAGUUGGUCAUAACGACUCUGAAUUCAUUCAGCAUCAGUCAACUAGGGACUUGAGGGUAUCAUUCUUUUUUCCUUUGAAAAUUUUUUUGAAAAAAUUUUCCUGGUUUUUUUGAUUUUUCUUAUUUUUUUCACCCUCUUUCUUUUCUUUUCUUUUUUUUUUUUUUUUUUUUUUUUUAAUCCCCAGUUUGACUGGU